GACGAACGCUGGCGGCGUGCUUAACACAUGCAAGUCGAACGGAAAGGCCCUGCUUUUGUGGGGUGCUCGAGUGGCGAACGGGUGAGUAACACGUGAGUAACCUGCCCUUGACUUUGGGAUAACUUCAGGAAACUGGGGCUAAUACCGGAUAGGAGCUCCUGCUGCAUGGGGGGGGUUGGAAAGUUUCGGCGGUUGGGGAUGGACUCGCGGCUUAUCAGCUUGUUGGUGGGGUAGUGGCUUACCAAGGCUUUGACGGGUAGCCGGCCUGAGAGGGUGACCGGCCACAUUGGGACUGAGAUACGGCCCAGACUCCUACGGGAGGCAGCAGUGGGGAAUAUUGCACAAUGGGCGGAAGCCUGAUGCAGCAACGCCGCGUGCGGGAUGAAGGCCUUCGGGUUGUAAACCGCUUUCGCCUGUGACGAAGCGUGAGUGACGGUAAUGGGUAAAGAAGCACCGGCUAACUACGUG
This 468-nucleotide ribosomal RNA is filed under the name uncultured bacterium. RNAcentral's name for it is "partial 16S ribosomal RNA". It matches the Rfam family "Bacterial small subunit ribosomal RNA", at positions 28 to 507 of the family's 1533-position model. The record is from RNAcentral.